AAAAAGAAACCACAUAAAAGAAACAGAUUGUGAGAAGUUUAAUAAAUGGCGUCGAUUCAUUUGUUGAUAGUUUUGAAAUGGUGAAUGAUUCUACGUAUUGUUAUCAGUUUUAUGUGGGGUUGGAGAAAUGUUGUGGGGAUUUGGAGGGAGUUUUGUUCCACAGCCAGGUGUCGGUGGUUGCUGUAUGUUAUGCGGGAGGUGGUGGGAAGAGUGCUCUAGAUUCUGCUCUAUGAAAUUUUCUUCAAAUUGAAGAAAAUGUGAGGAAAAUUUAUUAUUUGAAGGUCCAUGAUACAAAACUUAUGACUACCAAAGACAAAUCCACAAUCCUGUCAACCCUCGCUACAGAACUCUCUCAAUUAUCAUUGUUGGGCCCAGACGAUGCUCUGUUGCUUCUCUACUCCUGGGCUUUUAGACAGAAAUUUUAAGCGCUACGGAUGCAAAUAUAGUAAAGGAGGAAGUGUAGGUGCAAGCAGAAUGUGAUGGUCUGCCACUUGCUCUCAAGGUGAUUGGGAGCUCUUCGCAUGGGGAACCCCAAGAGGAUUGAAGAAGAGCAAAAACCAAGAUUUGUAGAGGAGAAAACACAUCAGAUUGUCACAGAGAAAGGCUAUGUAGAUUGAUACAGACCAGUAUUGACUCCUUAGAUGAUGCAACUAAUGAAUGUUUCUUAGAAUUGGUGUUAUUUUUAGAGGACAAGAAAAUCUGUGGCGAUACACUAUUGGAUAUUUGUGUUUAUGUUCGAAACCUGCGAAGGUGUGAUGCUUUUGGUAUCUUAUCUGAACUUGCAAGGGCAAUCCUGUUAAAUUUAAGUAGUAAUAUAAGAGGAACUACAACAAUCCCAUAUGAAAAUGCCUCGGAGCUAUACUUCUCUCAGCACGAUGUAAUGGCAGAUUUGACCUUUUUAUUUGGCAUACCAAGAAAAUGUAGUCGACAGCAAGAGGUUGGGUAAAGGGAGUUGCUUAAUGAUCGUGCAUUUGAUACUUAAAUACUCUCCACUCCCACUGGUAUGUUAUUCAAAAGCUUUUACAGAAACAUUUCGGCCCCCAAUUUUUUUUUCAUAUGUUAAUCAUUAUGUUCAUGAUCAUCUUUGAUGCCAAAUUAUAGAUUAGACUUGAAUUUCAAACAUGAUUUUCUUCAUAUUAUAACGUUUGUAUCACUCUUCAAGUAAAUUCAAACGGCCUAUCAUAAGACUUUGAUAUCCCAAUCAUUUGUUCAGCAGGUAAGCUCAACUGCCUCUGUAACCUACUUUUUUGGACCUACCUUUUUGGAUGUUCAAAAUGUCCUAUUCCCUAAUAAGCAACAAUAUACAACACUGCUGUUUUCAAUUCUCAGAUUUUUCAUGCUGUAGUAUUAAGCACCCUUCUUUUUCUGCAUCGCAAAAAUAAGCUCUUUUUUUUCCUUACCAUAUAUCCAUUCAUGGAUUCAACUUCAAUAUGACAAGAAUAUAACCUAUAUAACUGAUAUUCAUAAUUAAUGCAAAAGGUUUUAAUUGGAUUUCCUUUUUGAUUUGUACAUUCAGAACCUAUGGAGGAAAUCACUGGCAUGAUAUGAAUUUCCCUGAGACAGAGGCUCUGUUACUCCUUUGUGGGAUAGAAGACUUUCUUGAGUCUUCCCCCAUAUUUGAAAUCCAUAAAAAAACUAAUUUUUUUUAUGGUAUUAAUUUGUGAUACAAAGAAGGCAACAGUGAAAGGGCUAGAUGGCUUAGCUUUAAUUUGGAGAUAUUGAUUUCACCCCUUGUUGAAAAUGAGUUAUGAAGAAUACAGAGCUUGGAGAAAAUAUCUUUGAGCUCAUGUGAAGGAUUUGGAAAUAUAUACACAUUCAACACAAGCAAUCUUAUAUCAGAUCAAAGCAGCCAGUUUGAAGAGUUAGCCCUUGAUAUCUUGAAUAUGUCCUCCUCUCUGUCAUGGUCUAUUACCAAUGGCUCAGCACAAAAAGCCAUCACGUAAACACUGACACUAUGUGCUUAAUGUGCUGACAGUUUACAGUGGAGGUGUGCUUCCACAAUUUUAACUCUAAGCUCUAGAUUAGAAAUUUUCUUGGCAAGCAACCACUUUCCCAAUUUUCUCAUCACAUACAACAAGCUUCAGGGAACUUAGGUUACAAAUAGUUGUAGUAAACCUCAUCAAACGGGAACAUUCUGUUGUAUCAAAUUCCCUCAAUUUCCUGAGUUGUCCUAUUUCCUCUGGAAGUUCUUCCAAACCCUCGCAUACUGAAAUAUCUAGAUAUUCUAACUAUCCAAGUUUUACAAUUAAUACUGGGAGCUCUUUCAGGACCGGUAAAGUCAGUAAUUUUGAUAUCAUUAGAUGGCUCACAUUUCGAAGAUCAUAUGGUAAAUUCCGAAGCAGAUGUCGGUUGGGGAAAAGCUUAAGGAGCUACCAUGCUCUGGUGAACCUGCUGCCUUUUUACAUUACCCUCAGUUCUAUUAAUUACCAUUGUUGGGCCCAAAGGCUGUUCUGUUGCUUUUCUGCUUCUGCGUUUUUGGACAGAUAUCAAGUCUAAGCACUAUUAAUGCAAAUCUCAUAAAGCAGAAAAGGACUAUUUAGAUUGCUGCAGACCAGUAUUGAUUCCUUAGAUUAGUGUUUCUUAGGCUUGGAGUUAUUUCCAGAGGACAAGAAAUUCAGUGGUGAUGCACUAUUAGUUAUUUGGCUUUAUGUUCGAAACCUACAAAGGCAUGACGCUUUUGCUCUUUCAUCUAGAGCUUGCAAGCAAAAACCUGUUAAAUUUAACAGCAUUCUAAGGGGAAGUAAAACAAUCCCAUAUGGAAAUGUCUCGGAACUAUGCUUUUCUUAGCAUGAUGUAAUGUGAGAUCUGUCCCUGUAUUUGGCACACCAAGACGAUGUAGUCAACAGCAAGAGGUUCGUCAUAACAAACAGGGAAUCUGGUUUGUUAGCUGAAGGGGAUUUGCUUAAUAAUAAUGCAUUUGAUACUCAAAUGCUCUCCAUUUUCACCGGUGAGAUAUUUACAAAUGGAUUUCGUCCAAAUAUAUAUGUUUUGGAAAUGCUAACCAUUAUUUUUUAUGUUCACCUGUAAUAUUAAAUUGUGUUUUUUAUGUUCACCUGCAAUAUUAAAUUGUGGUCGAAAUUCAAGCAUUUUUUUCUGUAUAAUAUUGCUUUAUCUUCUUUGUUGUGACAAAAUCUAUAUCGGAUUGACAUUGAAAACUAAUACUAAGUCUUUAAUAUUCUAAUCCCUUGUUCAGUGGGUGAACUCAGCUGUGUAUGUAAAUUAUUCAAACUAUCUAGAUUUUUUGGAUGCAACACUUACUGUUUUCAAAUUUCAACUGUCUUAUCAUCACUCACUUAACAGUGUCCGCUUGGAGAGGUUGAUUUCACCCCUUGGUGAAAAACUGAGCAUUGAAGCACUGCAGAACUCAGAGAAGCUAUGUUUGAGCUUAUGUGAAGGAUUUGGAAAUAUAUCCACAUUCAUCAACACCCAGCUGCCAGAUUUUAACCUCGACCAUAGCAGUGAUUUGGAGGAGUGACCCCUCAGUAUUUGCAAUAUACCCCCCGCCCUUUCAUGCUCUAUUACCAACUUUCGUCUGCUUCAAAAUUUGCCAUAUGAUUUUGAAAAUAUGAGCUGUCUAAGAAUGUCAAGGUUAUUAGCAUUACCAUGCCUGGAACAGCUUCCUGUGUCAAUUGGAAAACUUGGACGGUCGGAAUAUCUAGACAUUUCGCUAUGUGAGGGCUUGAAAGAACUUACAAAGGAAAUAGAACAACUCAAGAAAUUGAGGGAGCUUGAUAUGAGAGAGUGUUCUCUUUUGAUGACGUUACCUUCAACUGUUUGUGAACUAAGUUCCCUGAAGCUUGUUACCUGUGAUGAGACAAUUGGGAAGCAGUGGUUGUGGGCCAAGAACAUUUCUAUUUUUUAGCUUAGAGUUGAAAUUGUGGAAGUACAAUUUACUUUGAAUUGGUUUCAUGAUUGACUUCUUUCUUAUCUUUCAUCUUGAAGGACAAGAUCCAAGGUUCUUGACAUCCAUGUUAAGUUUCAAUACAUUUUGAUACCCACUGGCACAAAUCAAUAUAAGUUCAUGUAUAUUUUCAGCCUA
This is a long non-coding RNA of Cryptomeria japonica (Japanese cedar), 4039 nucleotides long. RefSeq lists it as uncharacterized. The transcript is spliced from 6 exons. NCBI's taxonomy places the organism in Eukaryota, Viridiplantae, Streptophyta, Pinopsida, Cupressales, Cupressaceae. The record is from RefSeq and is a predicted model, not a curated record.